UGGGGAAUUUUGGACAAUGGGGGAAACCCUGAUCCAGCCAUCCCGCGUGUGCGAUGAAGGCCUUCGGGUUGUAAAGCACUUUUGGCAGGAAAGAAACGUCAUGGGUUAAUACCCCGUGAAACUGACGGUACCUGCAGAAUAAGCACCGGCUAACUACGUGCCAGCAGCCGCGGUAAUACGUAGGGUGCAAGCGUUAAUCGGAAUUACUGGGCGUAAAGCGUGCGCAGGCGGUUCGGAAAGAAAGAUGUGAAAUCCCAGAGCUCAACUUUGGAACUGCAUUUUUAACUACCGGGCUAGAGUGUGUCAGAGGGAGGUGGAAUUCCGCGUGUAGCAGUGAAAUGCGUAGAUAUGCGGAGGAACACCGAUGGCGAAGGCAGCCUCCUGGGAUAACACUGACGCUCAUGCACGAACGCGUGGGGAGCAAACAGG
Molecule: ribosomal RNA, 429 nt
Filed under: Acidobacteriota bacterium
Lineage: Bacteria; Pseudomonadati; Acidobacteriota
Description: Acidobacteria bacterium partial 16S ribosomal RNA
Rfam family: Bacterial small subunit ribosomal RNA
Source: RNAcentral